UUAUGGUUUAAUAAAAUAAAUAUCUAAAUUUAAGUAUAUCAUUUACAAUGAUAAGAUGUUUUUAACUU
RNAcentral lists this transfer RNA (68 nucleotides) under Nipponaphis loochooensis. Its description in RNAcentral is "tRNA-Val". Lineage: Eukaryota; Metazoa; Arthropoda; Insecta; Hemiptera; Hormaphididae. The record is from RNAcentral.